UACAUUUUAGUGUAAGAAGCACAAAAAUUUUUGAAAUUUUAAGAUACAGUUUAAUUCUGUAGUAUGUAA
RNAcentral lists this transfer RNA (69 nucleotides) under Theopompa sp. FY-2016a. RNAcentral describes it as "tRNA-Gln". Lineage: Eukaryota; Metazoa; Arthropoda; Insecta; Mantodea; Gonypetidae. The record is from RNAcentral.